GAUUCUCCUGUCUCAGCCUCUCAAGUAGCUGGGACUACAGGCAUGCGCCACCAUGCCCAGCUAAUUUUUUUGUAUUUUUAGUAGAGAUAAGGUUUCACCAUGUUGGCCAGGAUGGUCUCGAUCUCUUGACCUCAUGAUCCGCCUGCCUUGGCCUCCCAAAGUGAGAGGAUUGCUUGAGGCCAGGAGUUUGAAACCAGCCGGGUCAACAUGGUAAGACCCCAUCUCUAUAAAAAAGAAAAAAUUAGCCCAGCAUGGUGGCACAUGCCUGUAGCCCCAGCUACUCAGGAGGCUGGGGCAGAAGGAUCACUCAAGCCCAGGAGUUUGAGGCUGCAGUGAACCAUGAUUGUGCCACUGCACUCUAGCCUAGGUGACAGAGUGCAACCCUGUCUCAAAACAACAACAACAAAAAAAAAACUUCCAAAUUCAUUUUAAACUUUAUUGUCUUUCACAGACCAAACCCCACUAAUAAUAGCUAGGCCUCCUUCUACC
Molecule: non-coding RNA, 489 nt
Filed under: Pongo abelii (Sumatran orangutan)
Lineage: Eukaryota; Metazoa; Chordata; Mammalia; Primates; Hominidae
Source: RNAcentral